RNAcentral lists this ribosomal RNA (194 nucleotides) under uncultured bacterium. Its description in RNAcentral is "partial 16S ribosomal RNA". It matches the Rfam family "Bacterial small subunit ribosomal RNA", at positions 338 to 524 of the family's 1533-position model. The record is from RNAcentral.
CCUACGGGAGGCAGCAGUAGGGAAUCUUCCACAAUGGGCGAAAGCCUGAUGGAGCAACGCCGCGUGUGUGAUGAAGGGUUUCGGCUCGUAAAGCUCUGUUGUUAAAGAAGAACGUGGGUAAGAGUAACUGUUUACCCAGUGACGGUAUUUAACCAGAAAGCCACGGCUAACUACGUGCCAGCAGCCGCGGUAAU